This 258-nucleotide ribosomal RNA is filed under the name uncultured archaeon. RNAcentral describes it as "partial 16S ribosomal RNA". It matches the Rfam family "Archaeal small subunit ribosomal RNA", at positions 748 to 1005 of the family's 1478-position model. The record is from RNAcentral.
UAGCCGUAAACGAUACUCGCUAGGUGUCGGCCACGGUGCGACCGUUGUCGGUGCCGUAGGGAAGCCGUGAAGCGAGCCACCUGGGAAGUACGGCCGCAAGGCUGAAACUUAAAGGAAUUGGCGGGGGAGCACAACAACGGGUGGAGCUUGCGGUUUAAUUGGAUUCAACGCCGGAAAUCUUACCGGGACCGACAGCAACAUGAAGGCCAAGCUGAAGACUUUGCCGGAUUAGCUGAGAGGAGGUGCAUGGCGUCAGUG